GUUGGGGGACCCCAGGGAAAAUGUGGGGCUCCCAGGGCAGGCAGGAACGGGCAGCAAGGGGAGACCAGAGCCGAGUGUCCUGUGGAGGAGAGGGGACGGGGAGAAAGCACAGCCUUGCUGCCACCGCCUGCCCAGGGGGUGGGGGCAGGUGAGCGCCAUCUUCACUCAAUCCUCGCUCCCCAUGAGGCCCGCUCAGGGCACAGAGCCUGCCGUGACCCCCAUAGGGGGCUGUCAUGACGGUGAGCUCUGCUCAGCCUGAGACGUGACUAAUUAUCUGCUGAAUGAGCCACCCCGUUUUCGAGGAAAUUAGGUUUUAAAAAUAGUCGGGGGAGGAAAGGCGAGCCGCGCUGCGGAGCCGGGAGGUGGCCCCUCUGAGCAGUUUCCGCUGGCCAGGCCCGAGGCGGGGGCUCUGCCGCUGGGGCCCCUCUCUCCUGGCCCCAUCACAGGACGUGGUGGCGACCCGGGCCUGCGGUGCACGGCUCUGAUCGCUGGCUGCACGGUGACCUCAUCGGCCACCCCACCUCCCUGUGUGCCCAGGGCUUCUCUCUGAGCCUCAGUCUCUCUCUAUAAAGUGCGGCUGAAGCCAGCUCGAGCCCUAGAGGCACUGCCAUUCUCCACGGGGCCACAUGGCCGCCUCUGCACCCAGCUGUUCCCUGGCCUGCGCCUGGUCUCCGCCCUGGCCCUGCCAGUGCUCCCUGGACACUGUGUCCCACACCAGCCACCUUUGCCACCCCACUGACACCGCCCCAUCCUGCAGACCAGCCUGGUCCCUCCUGCUGAGCCUGGGGGCUCCCUCAGGACGGGGCCUGCCCUGGGCUGACAGCAUGGGCGUGUUUGUUGACUGACCCAUGGACUGACAGAUACCCGUUCCUCUUUUCUCUGCACAACAGGCCUCCGCCAGAGCUUCCUCUCCACAUCUGUCUGACAUGGACACUGAGGCAGGGAAUGACUAAACUGGGGGAGGAGGCAGAUUGUCAGGCUGGCUCUGCAGUGAGACCCAAAGCCUCCGACCAUGGGGACCACAGGCCCCUCUGAGGACCUGCCAGGACGGCCAGGCUGGGCAGCGGCACUCCACGACACAGGCUGGGGUGGGGACCCGGAGGCGGCAGGGCCGACCCUCAGCUCUGGUGAGGCUCAGACCAGGACCCGGCGGACAAGGGUAGGCCGUGCAAGAAUCUUCUCCUGCUAAACUGCAGAAAGGCCUUCUGUGGCUGUCCACAGAUGGCUGCGACGCUUGGCAGUAGUGUGACUUGCUCUGACCAACAGAAUGUGAUGCAAGGGAUGGUGUGGGCGUGAGGAAGGCUGGCACUUCUCACUGUGCCUCUGGGAACCUGGGCCACGACACUCAGAGGCCAGCUCCCUGCAAAAAGACCGGGCGGCCCCAGCUGUUCCUGCCAUCCUGGCUGAGGGUUGGACAGGCAAGUGUAGGACGAGCUUGAAUUUCCUGCCACUGCCGACCACAGCCAUGGAACUAACCCCAGGUAUGACCUACAGAAGAACCACCCAACUGAACCCAACCCAAAUAACAGAAUCGCAAGCAAAUACACAGUUGUUUGAAGCUUCUGUCUGGGGGUGGUUUGUUAUACAAUAGCUGACUGAAACAGAUCUCGGCUCACUACAACCUCUGCCUCUUGGGUUUAAGUGAUUCUCCUGUCUCAGCCUCCCCCGAGUAGCUGCAGAUCUUGGCUCACUACAGCCUCCGCCACUCGGGUUCAAGCGAUUCUCCUGCCUCAGCCUCCCCCGAGUAGCUGCAGAUCUCGGCUCACUACAGCCUCCGCCUCCCGGGUUCAAGCGAUUCUCCUGCCUCAGCCUCCCCCGAGUAGCUGCAGAUCUCGGCUCACUACAGCCUCCGCCUCCCGGGUUCAAGCGAUUCUCCUGCCUCAGCCUCCCCCGAGUAGCUGGGACUACAGGCACGCACCACCAUGCCCAGCUUUUUUGUAUUUUUAGUAGAGAUGGGGUUUCACCGUGUUACCCAGGAUGGUCUCAAUCUCUUGACCUCGUGAUCUGCCCGCCUUGGCCUCCCAGCGUGCUGCGAUGACAGACAUGAGCCACCGUGCCCGGCCUAUCUGUGGACUUCUUUGGAACAGGAGGAGUUACAGUUUUUAAUUCCUUUGUCUUACUUGGACUUCUUACAUUCAAAGAAGCAUUAAUAAUCUGUACAUGGAUUAUUCAGCCAUGAAAAGGAGUGAGGCUCUGACGCAGGCCACAGCACGGAUGCACCUUGAAGACGUCACACUCAGUGAGAGAUACCAGACACAAGAGGCCAUGCAGUGUGUGACCCCAUUUCUAUGAAAUGUCCAGGACAGGCUGAUCCAGAGAGACAGGGAGGGGAUGCAUGGGUGCUGGGGCUGGGGAGGGAUGGAGAGUGACAGCCGCCAGGCGCAGGGUUUGCUUUCGGGGUGAUGGAAAUGUACUAGAAUUAGUGGCAGUGACUGAACAACUCUGUGAAUACGCCGAGAAGAAUUUACUCAGUUGCAAUAAGUAAGCAGUAAGACACUUUCAAAGAGUGAAUUUUGUGUCCCAGAAAAGCAAAAUGAAGAUGCAGAUCCCUUUAGUUGCAAAAGCAUUGCCCAGUGACAUACACCAUCUGGAACCUUCUCCAAACUCGGUCAUCCCCCAGGGCCUCAGUUUGCUUGUCUCUAAAGGAGGUUGGGGGACUUGGUCAAGGCUUGACCAGAAGGGCAGCCAGUCUGCUGCAGGCUGGAGCUUCUCACACUGUCUGUGCUGUAGAACUGAGUUCAACCUUUCUUUUCUCUCCAUCAUGGACCAAGGCUUUUGUGAAACGCAGUAAACAGCAACUACCGAGGUCUGAAAGGCUGGUGCCGACCCUCAGCUUCUGCUCCUCUCUGGUAUGGACCGGGAUGGACAGUCUCGUCCAUGGUGACAUCAAACGGCCCUGCCUCAGGCCUCUUCUCUCUUGAUAUGAGUGUACCCACAUGCAAACGGCUUGGGGGCCUCCAGGCACCCCCCAAAGCCCAUGCAAACCAGGAUCUCCCCCCUCAGCACUUAGGGCUGGAUUGUUCUCUGGGCUGGUCACUGGGGCCGUCCUGGGCACUGCAGGGUGCCGAGCAGCAUCCCUGGCCUCCACCCACUCCAUGCCAGGGGCACCCCCCAGCUGUAACAACCACAGAUGUCUCCAGACAUGGCCCCGUGUCCCCAGGGGGGCAGGAUGACCCCAGGUGAUGCCCCGCUUCAGUAGCCCCUGAGGUUAAACCCUUGGGUGAGAUGUUCAACACGGCUGCAACAGCAAAUAUCUGCACCAGGUGCCGACCAAGCUCUCCCCACACAGGAUCCCACCCAGCCUGACCAGGCAGCCACUCCUCACGGCUUCAUUUGACACAUGGGGAAACCGAGGCUGGGAGAGGUGGAAGGAUUCUGACACCGCUGGGGAGAACCCAUGUGGCCAGGCCUCCCGCGUGACCGUCUCUAACCCAUACAGGCCUGGCAUGGUAGGCAAUGGGGUCCCUGUUUGGGGACAGGCAGCACCCGACUGAUGGUCCCCACCGGGAAGUGAUGAGAGAUGUGAACUCAGGUACCUGCCCGGCCCUGCAGCCCCAAGCCCAGCGAGUCGCCGUAAACUGUCACCCGGUACAUCCGCGGUCCCCGGCACCCACCACUCCCAGCACACCCUGGUGAGUGGCCCGCCCGGGCUUGGUUCUGAGCCCUGCGGUGUUUGGGUUCGGUCAACUCUAGAAAUCACAAUGUUUUGGAGAAAAACCUGGGUUUCUCGAAAAACAGGCAGAUCUAGAAAUAAAAGGCUGCACCAUCACUCGGCCCCCCGCCUGGCACACUCGCCUCUGCCUUCGCCCCCCACGGCCCACUCCCCGACGGCGCGUGGCCAGGAGGCGCCUGUGAGCACCUGAUCCAGCUGCCACCUAAUUCAUGAUCACCGUUUGACAGGCCGGGAAAUGGGGAUUUGGGGAAAUUUAGGAAGUUACCCAAAGUCAACGGUGAAAAACGCUGUGAUCCCAUCUCCGAAUCCAGAAAAACCUUCAACGAAAUUCAACAUGAAUUUCACGUCCCCCCAAAAUACUACCAAGAAAGAAAAAAAGGAGAGAAAGGGAGACUGCUUUUACUUUAAAAAGAAAUAUAAGACCAGGCGAGGUGGCUCUAGCACUUUGGGAGGCUGAGGCAGGAGGACGGCUUGAGCCCAGAAGUUUGAGACUUGCCUGGGCAACAUCGUGAGACCCCCAUCUCUACAAAAAAAUUUAAAUAUUAGCCAGGAGUGGUGGUGCACACCUGUAUUUCUAGCUACUUGGGAGGCUGAGGCGGGAGGAUCACUUGAACCCAGAAGUUUGAGGCUGCAGUGAGCUAUGACUGCACCACUGCACUCUAGCCUGGGCAACAGAGCAAGAUCCUGUCUUAAAAUUAAAAUAAAAUAAAAUAAAAUAUAAAAUGAAAGAAGUAUAAAGCAAAAAGUUAUGGGAAAUGCCUUAAUGUCAACCACAAGACCAGGGGUGUGGCUGUGAGAGCCGCCACUGCAGCGGAAGUGCUGGCUGGAGCAAUAAGACUAGAAAAAGAGAAAGGAAUGAAGACUGAAAAGAAAAAGAGAAAGUUUUAGGCCAGGCUUUACGGUGGCUCACGCCUGUCAUCCCAGCACUUUGGGAGGCCGAGGCAGGCGGGUCACUUGAGCCCAGGAGUUAGAGACCAGCCUGGCCAACAUGGUGAAACCCCGUCUCUACUGAAAAUACAAAAAUUAGGCGGGUG
RNAcentral lists this long non-coding RNA (4707 nucleotides) under Homo sapiens (human). Its description in RNAcentral is "HSALNT0254630". The record is from RNAcentral. Lineage: Eukaryota; Metazoa; Chordata; Mammalia; Primates; Hominidae.